RNAcentral lists this ribosomal RNA (740 nucleotides) under Rehmanniella wirthii. RNAcentral's name for it is "mitochondrial SSU rRNA". It matches the Rfam family "Bacterial small subunit ribosomal RNA", at positions 352 to 1200 of the family's 1533-position model. The record is from RNAcentral. Lineage: Eukaryota; Fungi; Ascomycota; Lecanoromycetes; Teloschistales; Teloschistaceae.
CUUGGAGGAAUGUAUAGCAAUAGCUAAUUGCACUAUAAAUUUUAGUGUAAAAUCGACUACGUCGAAUAAAAUUCUGGGUAGACUUUUGAUAAUGACAUUAUCUGCCCAUAAGUCUUGACCAAAUUACGUGCCAGCAGUCGCGGCAAUACGUAGAAGACAAGUGUUAUUCAUCUUUAAUAGGUUUAAAGGGUACCUAGACGGGAAAUAAAGCCUCAAAAAGGGACUAGUUUUCUAGAGUUUUAUGUGAAGAAGUAUUAAAGUACUAGAGGUGAAGAGAUGAAAUUCAGUCAUACCUUGAUGGCACAGGUUAAGGCGAAGGCAUCUUCUUAUGUAAAAACUGACGUUGAGGGACGAAGGCUUUGUGUCUCGAACAGGAUUAGUUACCCUAGUAGUCUAAGCAGACAAUGAUGAAUGUCAUAGAUUAGAUGUAAUUUGAUCUAUAAAUGAAAGUGUAAGCAUUCCACCUCAAGAGUAAUUUGGCAACAUUGGAACUGAAAUCAUUAGACCGUUUCUGAAACCAGUAGUGAAGUAUGUUGUUUAAUUUGAUAAUCCGCAAAAAACCUUACCACAUUUGAAUAGAUAUAUUUUAUCAUACAAGCGUUGCACGGCUGUCUUCAGUUAAUGUCGUGAGGCUAUGGUUAGUUCCAUUAAUUAACGUAAACCCUUACUUUAUUUUAAAAUGUAGUAGUUCACCGCUAGAUUGGAUGUGAUAAUAGGGAUCAAGACAAGUCAUCAUGACC